RNAcentral lists this small RNA (148 nucleotides) under Macaca fascicularis (crab-eating macaque). RNAcentral describes it as "Metazoan signal recognition particle RNA (ENSMFAG00000052320.1)". Lineage: Eukaryota; Metazoa; Chordata; Mammalia; Primates; Cercopithecidae. The record is from Rfam by way of RNAcentral.
GUCGGGCAUGGUGAUGCAUGCCUGUAGUCCCAGCUACUUGGGAGGCUGAGGCAGGAGAAUCACUUGAACCCGGGAGGUGUAGGUUGCAGUGAGCUGAGAUCAUGCCACUGCACUCAAGCCUGGGUGACAGAGCAAGACCCUGUCUCCA